GCCGGGACCUCCCAAACAGCGCGUAGAAACCCAACGAGCGCGUAAUGAUGACGCAACACGCAGCCUAGGAUUUUUUUUCUUCCCCAGCGACGCGGAGCGGAAAAUGUCUAGGCUCGCGCUGUUGCCAUGGAAGAUUGGUGAUUUUGGUCUCACCAGGCCCUCUCUCUUGUGUUUGAGGGAUUUUGAACUGAACAAGGUUAUUCUGCCUUUUCAUGGCAAUGGAAGUGAUCUCCAGUGAGUGGCACCUGUGUCAGCUGAGAGAACAAAGUCCCUUCCUGCUUGCUGGUCACCUUGCCUGUCUCUGCUGCCUGUGCCAGCCACUGGCACAAAGGGAGCAACUUCUGGGCACUGAAGGCUGAAGUCUGAUAUCAAGAUUUUGACAGUGUUGUCAUCCGAGGACCAUGAUAGAAGGAUCAGUUCCAAGCCUUUCUUCUUAGUUUAUAGAUGGUCAUCUUCUCCCUGUGUCUUUACCUAAUUUUCCUUCCUUAUCUGUGUUCAAGUUUCCUCUUCUUAGGAGGGCAUCAGUCAUAUUGGAUUAGAGCCAACCCUAAUAACUACAUUUUAACUUAAUUACCUCUCUAAAGGCUCUGUCUCCAAGUGCAGUCACAUUCUAAUACACUGGGGUUUAGGACUUCAGCCUAUCAGUUGGGGGUAGGAGCAUAAUUCUGCCCAUAACAGGGGGCAAGAGAGUAGAAGGAUUCUCUACUGAACCCUGAAACCUUCUAGAAUGGCAGCAUUUGUUAGAGCUGAAAACCAGUCCUCUAAUUUUUCUUUCUUCUGACUGUAAAUAUGAUCAUUCUUCAAAGUUCAGUCCUUGGUCUUCUGCUUGUCUCACUCAAGUGUUUCCCAGCAUAGACCAGUUAUAAUGGUGCCUAAAUAUGUUUUUCAAAUCUUACUCAGCUAUAGACUCAAGAGAGGUUAAUCUUACUGUUUAUAAACCUAACACAUUUUUUAAAAAGUUACUAUAAACAUCUAAAUUAUUGAUAUGGAAGAAAAGUUUGAAACCACCUCUCCUCCUAGAAUGCAGAAGAAAAAGACAAUGAGAUUUAAAGAAAUAAUAAAUAUAGGAGUUAGAGGGCUGAAGAACAACCUUUAAUUAUUAUAAUCAAACUAUUCACACACACAAAACAAACAGAAUAAAUAAUAAAUAUUCAUGAAUUCUCAGUCUGCAAGUGAAAGCUCACUAGACUUUAGGCAGAAGUGAUUAAAAAAGACUAUACAUUAAAAAAUUUCCUAGAUAAUUCUUUUAAUUUCAAGAAUUUACAAAUUUAAAAAGGGACAAAAAUUCCUAAAAUUCAUAUGGAACCACAAAAGACCUUGAAUAGCCAAAACAAUCCUGAGAAGGAAGAAUAAAGCAAGGGGAAUUACACUCCCCAACUUCAAACUCUACUACAAAGUCACAGUAAUCAAGACAAUUUGGUAUUGGCACAAGAACAGACCCAUAGACCAAUGGAACAGACUAGAGAGCCCUGAUAUAAACCCAACCAUAUAUGGUCAAUUAAUAUACGAUAAAGGAGCCAUGGACAUACAAUGGGGAAAUGACAGCCUCUUCAACAGCUGAUGUUGGCAAAACUGGACAGCUACAUGCAAGAGAAUGAAACUGGAUUAUGGUUUAACCCCAUACACAAAAGUAAACUCAAAAUGGAUUAAAGACUUGAAUGUAAGUCAUGAAACCAUAAAACUCUUAGAAGACAACAUAGGCAAACAUCUCCUGAAUAUAAGCAUGAGCAACUUCUUCCUGAACGCAUCUCCUCGAGCAAGGGAAACAAAAGCAAAACUGAACUCAUGGUACUACAUCAA
Manis pentadactyla (Chinese pangolin) is the source of this 1800-nucleotide long non-coding RNA. RefSeq lists it as uncharacterized. NCBI's taxonomy places the organism in Eukaryota, Metazoa, Chordata, Mammalia, Pholidota, Manidae. The transcript is spliced from 3 exons. The record is from RefSeq and is a predicted model, not a curated record.